This is a long non-coding RNA of Hippopotamus amphibius kiboko, 553 nucleotides long. RefSeq lists it as uncharacterized. Lineage: Eukaryota; Metazoa; Chordata; Mammalia; Artiodactyla; Hippopotamidae. The transcript is spliced from 3 exons. The record is from RefSeq and is a predicted model, not a curated record.
UGACAAGGCUGCAGGGGGAAGGCUCAUAGGAAACAUUCUCCUUUGCCAGGUGUGGGAAGGGCCCUGGACAUGCUGUGUCGACUGUCCAGUACCGCUGUCCCUGCCACCAGGGAGUGGGGCGGAAGAGCCAGCCUUGGUGGUGCUACUGUGGGAAGGAGCUGUCAUUACAGCGCCCGUUUUGCAGAUGGGAACACAGAGGCCUCAGGAAGCAAAGUCACUUGUGAAGCUCACAGUUGCAGCACCCGGUCUGCCAGACACACUGUGCAAAUUGCUGCCCUGGUGGAAGAGGUCAUGUGGCAGGAUCGAGGGGCCUGGGGCCUGGCCCCUAUCUGCUGUGGCCCGAGCGACCUUCACACAUCCCGUGCUCCGGGCCGGGAGCCACCCUCUCCACAGUGACAGUGUCUCACAGUGGCCCGGGCUGGGAGCCGGGCUGCCUGCGCUGCUCUGCAUAAGCAGUUUCACAGGCCAUUUCAUGAGCACCUAUUACAAUCCAGGAUGUGCACCAGACACUGGGGACGCAAGAUGAGUGGGACACAGCCCCUGACCCUAAGGU